RNAcentral lists this ribosomal RNA (262 nucleotides) under uncultured Piloderma. RNAcentral describes it as "partial 28S ribosomal RNA". It matches the Rfam family "Eukaryotic large subunit ribosomal RNA", at positions 1 to 254 of the family's 3401-position model. The record is from RNAcentral. Lineage: Eukaryota; Fungi; Basidiomycota; Agaricomycetes; Atheliales; Atheliaceae.
UUGACCUCAAAUCAGGUAGGACUACCCGCUGAACUUAAGCAUAUCAAUAAGCGGAGGAAAAGAAACUAACAAGGAUUCCCCUAGUAACUGCGAGUGAAGCGGGAAAAGCUCAAAUUUAAAAUCUGGCGGUCUUGCGGCCGUCCGAGUUGUAAUCUGGAGAAGCGUUUAUCCGCGUCGGACCGUGUACAAGUCUCCUGGAAGGGAGCGUCGUAGAGGGUGAGAAUCCCGUCUUUGACACGGACAACCGAUGCUUUUGUGAUGC